UAAUACCCGGUAUAGUCUGUUAUACACCUGUAUAAAAGAAGAGAGCUACGGCGGCCAAAGAUGGGCAUGCGUGCCAUUAGUUAGUUGGUAGGGUAACGGCCUACCAAGGCAUCGAUGGCUACGUGGGUCUAAAAGGAUGAGCGCGCACACUGGUACUGAGACACGGACCAGACUCCUACGGGAGGCAGCAGUGAGGAAUAUUGGUCAAUGGGUGGAAGCCUGAACCAGCCAUGCCGCGUGCAGGAAGACGGCCCUAUGGGUUGUAAACUGCUUUUCUACGGGACGAACGGCUCUGACGUGUCAGAGAUUGACGGUACCGUAAGAAUAAAGCAUCGGCUAACUCCGUGCCAGCAGCCGCGGUAAUACGGAGGAUGCGAGCGUUAUCCGGAUUUAUUAGGUUUAAAGGGUGCGUAGGCUGGGCAAUAAGUCAGUGGUGAAAGUCCGCGGCUCAAACCGUGGGAUUGCCAUUGAAACUGUUGUUCUUGAGUACAGUCGAGGUAGGCGGAAUGUGUAAUGUAGCGGUGAAAUGCAUAGAUAUUACCCAGAAAACCGAUUGCGUAGGCAGCUUACCAGCCUGGAACUGACGCUGAUGCAC
This 595-nucleotide ribosomal RNA is filed under the name uncultured organism. RNAcentral's name for it is "bacterial SSU rRNA". It matches the Rfam family "Bacterial small subunit ribosomal RNA", at positions 164 to 754 of the family's 1533-position model. The record is from RNAcentral.